RNAcentral lists this ribosomal RNA (474 nucleotides) under uncultured bacterium. RNAcentral describes it as "bacterial SSU rRNA". It matches the Rfam family "Bacterial small subunit ribosomal RNA", at positions 8 to 507 of the family's 1533-position model. The record is from RNAcentral.
AGAGUUUGAUCAUGGCUCAGGAUGAACGCUGGCGGCGUGCCUAACACAUGCAAGUCGAGCGAUUCUCUUCGGAGAAGAGCGGCGGACGGGUGAGUAACGCGUGGGUAACCUGCCCUGUACACACGGAUAACAUACCGAAAGGUAUGCUAAUACGAGAUAAUAUACUUUUAUCGCAUGGUAGAAGUAUCAAAAGCUUUUGCGGUACAGGAUGGACCCGCGUCUGAUUAGCUAGUUGGUAAGGUAACGGGCUUACCAAGGCGACGAUCAGUAGCCGACCUGAGAGGGUGAUCGGCCACAUUGGAACUGAGACACGGUCCAAACUCCUACGGGAGGCAGCAGUGGGGAAUAUUGCACAAUGGGCGAAAGCCUGAUGCAGCAACGCCGCGUGAGCGAUGAAGGCCUUCGGGUCGUAAAGCUCUGUCCUCAAGGAAGAUAAUGACGGUACUUGAGGAGGAAGCCCCGGCUAACUACGUG